Molecule: RNA transcript, 1201 nt
Organism: Homo sapiens (human)
Lineage: Eukaryota; Metazoa; Chordata; Mammalia; Primates; Hominidae
Gene: RAB5IF
Gene name: RAB5 interacting factor
Exons: 5
Source: RefSeq, marked validated
GUAGAGCCGGCGGAACCGGGUAGCUUGGCCAGGUUGUGAGGAACCGCAGCGCGCCGCAGGACCGGGCCGCUGAGCCUGCAGCCGCCCCGCGCCGUGACCUGCGACCCUAGACCCCGACUCCCUUUGGCUCAGCCCGCGCGCCCCAGGCCCGGCCCGGGCGGCGCGACGGGAGGAUGAGCGGCGGGCGGCGGAAGGAGGAGCCGCCUCAGCCGCAGCUGGCCAACGGGGCCCUCAAAGUCUCCGUCUGGAGUAAGGUGCUGCGGAGCGACGCGGCCUGGGAGGAUAAGGAUGAAUUUUUAGAUGUGAUCUACUGGUUCCGACAGAUCAUUGCUGUGGUCCUGGGUGUCAUUUGGGGAGUUUUGCCAUUACGAGGGUUCUUGGGAAUAGCAGGAGGCUUUUUUUCCUGUUACAGGAAAGGCCAUUGCUGCUCUGGAGCUGUGUGUGUGUGUGAUGACUAAAGCAAAGAAGCAGCCCUACAGUGGCACUCCUGGGUCUGGUGCACCACUCCUCAGGAGCAUCUCAGAUUCUGCCUGAUCAAUGCAGGAGUCCUGUACCUCUACUUCAGCAAUUACCUACAGAUUGAUGAGGAAGAAUAUGGUGGCACGUGGGAGCUCACGAAGGAAGGGUUUAUGACCUCUUUUGCCUUGUUCAUGGUCAUUUGGAUCAUCUUUUACACUGCCAUCCAUUAUGACUGAUGGUGUACAGCUCCCAAGUGCUCCCUAUCCAGUCCAAAGGACCCUCUUGAUUACAGCACAGGAACUUGAUCGUUGGGGAACCCCAGCCCCUUGGAACUUGGAAGACCCGUGUUUCCUGGACCGCGAAUCAGUGUGUUGGGCAUCAGUGUUUUCUGCAAGGGUUGUGACCUGAAACUUUUUAAAAACCACCCACCUUUGGGGAAGCAUUUCUGAAUUUAUCCAUCACCAACCAUUUCUUCUUGGAUACCAUCAAGUAACAGCUAUUAUUUGCCAAGUGGAGCUGUCAUUUAAUUUGAUGCACCUCUGGAUUCAGAUGAAACAUUAAAUUGUCUUCCUCGAUUCUCCAUCGGGUGUAGAGUUUUUAAACUAUCAAUGGCAUUUCAAGUCUUCUGAAACAGCAUGGCUGUAUGUGCGUGGUCCAUAGCACAGUACAUGCAGCAUCUAAUAAGAGUUUCCAUUGUAGAAUGUUUUCACAUACUUGAAUAAAUCAAAUCUUUAAUUGAGAA